This 495-nucleotide ribosomal RNA is filed under the name uncultured bacterium. RNAcentral's name for it is "partial 16S ribosomal RNA". It matches the Rfam family "Bacterial small subunit ribosomal RNA", at positions 28 to 507 of the family's 1533-position model. The record is from RNAcentral.
GACGAACGCUGGCGGCGUGCCUAAUACAUGCAAGUCGAACGCUGAAGGAGGAGCUUGCUUCUCCGGAUGAGUUGCGAACGGGUGAGUAACGCGUAGGUAACCUGCCUGGUAGCGGGGGAUAACUAUUGGAAACGAUAGCUAAUACCGCAUAAGAGUAGAUGUUGCAUGACAUUUGCUUAAAAGGUGCACUUGCAUCACUACCAGAUGGACCUGCGUUGUAUUAGCUAGGUGGUGGGGUAACGGCUUACCAAGGCGACGAUACAUAGCCGACCUGAGAGGGUGAUCGGCCACACUGGGACUGAGACAAGGCCCAGACUCCUUCGGGAGGCAGCAAGAGGGGAUCAUCGGCAAUGGACGGAAGUCUGACCGAACAACGCCGCGUGAGUGAAGAAGGGUUUCGGAUCGGAAAGCUCUGUUGUAAGAGAAGAACGAGUGUGAGAGUGGAAAGUUCACACUGUGACGGUAUCUUACCAGAAAGCGACGGCUAACUACGUG